AAAGUAAACCAUCCUGUCUCACUCUUCGACCCCAGAGGGUUACGUGUUCGCGGUCUUGUUUUCCUGGCAGCAGGCCUCCGUGAUCUCCGGAACAAACGCCGUGAAUCUCGUGCCCAAGCAAGACUGCCUGGACCUUCCAGGCAGACAGAGAAGGACCAGGCUUCGCAGCCUCUGACCCGACAAAGGCAGGACUUUGGUAAAUGUCCAGACACCGAAGGCUGGACUAGAGCUGGCCCCCGUGGCGCAUGUUCUUGCCCAGAAGCAGCAGUUUGCAAAAACUCAGGAGGUGUCAUUGGGCAAGGAUGAAGGCAAGUAAGUUUCGGCGCUUUGUCCCCGGACCCCAACACAACCCCCGCGGGUUUGGAAGCUGAACCUAAUCGAAGAUUCUGCAGAGACGUCUCUGGCGCGAGAGCAGAUGGCAUAGGCCUGGACGCUCCCCAUCAGCAAAGUCCAUCCGGAAGCGGCCUUGCCUUGUGGACGGUAAUAGACGAGACUCCUGGAGGAACAGCAGUUAUUCUCAACCUAUGGUAAUGAAAGCCACUGAGCAAAGACAAUUGAGCAAAGAAGACAGAAGGAGCCUGAGAGCUUCAUGGCGUUCUUGACCAGUGGUGCUAGCCCUGGAUGAUUGACCUCAGGACCUCUUGUUAAAUGACAUAUGCUAACUCCUUUCUGUUUAACCCACUGCAGUAGAAUUUUAUUUUGCAGUGAAUCAAAUUCUAACUGAUGAUAUUGGCUAAUGUGUGUUAGUACCUGCUUUGGGCCAGUGGACUUCUAAGAAUUUUUAUAUACUAACUUCAUUUUUUAAGCACAAAUAUAUUUUUAAAAUUUAUUUAUUCUUUAAUUGAAGGAUAAUUGCUUUAUGUAGUAACACUUUUAAUCCACACAGUGAAUGACUUUAUGAUAUAGAUGAAAGUAGCAAGCAGCAUUAAUGUCACCUGGAAAUUUGUUAGCAAUGCAGGUUUGGGGGCCUGACCCCAGAGCUCCUUAGGCGGAAUCUCUGGGAACAGGGCCCACAGUCUGUGUUUUAACAAACCCUCCAGGUGAUUCUAGCGUCUACUGAAGUUUGACAACUUUAUAGAUAGGGUAUUUUUACUGUCCCCAUUUUACAGGUAAGUAGACUGAGCUGAAUUUAAGUCAUUUGCUCAAUGUCACACAACUAGUAAGACUAACUCCUAAGUUUGUGUUUGUAGCCACUGUGUGACAUCACAUGUUCAGAAUUCCUGCUCUAGAAUAGUAGCCUUCAAAAUUUGAAAGCAUACCCCUUUGAAAAAUUAUGUACCCCUUGUACAUUUUUAGAUCAGCAUCUAAAAAUUUCAAAUCGUAAGUUCAAACAGUUGUAAAGAAUGUGAUUUCCAGUACACUGUAAUUUGUGGCAUUUUAAAAAUGUGUUCCAUCACCCUUCUAAAUGAAUCUAAAUACCAUAGUGAAUAUUUGGUUAAUGAACUAUCAUCUAUUUUAAAAAAAAAUAAAUUUUCUUUCACAUUUGA
Molecule: long non-coding RNA, 1487 nt
Organism: Cervus elaphus (red deer)
Lineage: Eukaryota; Metazoa; Chordata; Mammalia; Artiodactyla; Cervidae
Exons: 2
Source: RefSeq, a predicted model, not a curated record